This 72-nucleotide transfer RNA is filed under the name Bos taurus (domestic cattle). It matches the Rfam family "tRNA". From Rfam's summary of the family: Transfer RNA (tRNA) molecules are approximately 80 nucleotides in length. Their secondary structure includes four short double-helical elements and three loops (D, anti-codon, and T loops). The record is from Rfam by way of RNAcentral. Lineage: Eukaryota; Metazoa; Chordata; Mammalia; Artiodactyla; Bovidae. RNAcentral also lists the same sequence under 5 other names.
UCCCUGGUGGCUCAGACAGUAAAGCAUCUGCCUGCAAUGCAGGAGACCCGGGUUCGAUUCCUGGGUUGGGAA